AGACCCGAAACCCGGUGAUCUAGCCAUGGGCAGGUUGAAGGUUGGGUAACACUAACUGGAGGACCGAACCGACUAAUGUUGAAAAAUUAGCGGAUGACCUGUGGCUGGGGGUGAAAGGCCAAUCAAACCGGGAGAUAGCUGGUUCUCCCCGAAAGCUAUUUAGGUAGCGCCUCGUGAAUUCAUCUCCGGGGGUAGAGCACUGUUUCGGCUAGGGGGCCAUCCCGGCUUACCAACCCGAUGCAAACUGCGAAUACCGGAGAAUGUUAUCACGGGAGACACACGGCGGGUGCUAACGUCCGUCGUGAAGAGGGAAACAACCCAGACCGCCAGCUAAGGUCCCAAAGUCAUGGUUAAGUGGGAAACGAUGUGGGAAGGCCCAGACAGCCAGGAUGUUGGCUUAGAAGCAGCCAUCAUUUAAAGAAAGCGUAAUAGCUCACUGGUCGAGUCGGCCUGCGCGGAAGAUGUAACGGGGCUAAACCAUGCACCGAAGCUGCGGCAGCGACGCUUAUGCGUUGUUGGGUAGGGGAGCGUUCUGUAAGCCUGCGAAGGUGGCCUGUGAGGGUUGCUGGAGGUAUCAGAAGUGCGAAUGCUGACAUAAGUAACGAUAAAGCGGGUGAAAAGCCCGCUCGCCGGAAGACCAAGGGUUCCUGUCCAACGUUAAUCGGGGCAGGGUGAGUCGACCCCUAAGGCGAGGCCGAAAGGCGUAGUCGAUGGGAAACGGGUUAAUAUUCCCGUACUUGGUGUUACUGCGAAGGGGGGACGGAGAAGGCUAUGUUGGCCGGGCGACGGUUGUCCCGGUUUAAGCGUGUAGGUGUGUGUUCCAGGUAAAUCCGGUUCACUUUAACACUGAGGCGUGACGACGAGGCACUACGGUGCUGAAGCAACAAAUGCCCUGCUUCCAGGAAAAGCCUCUAAGCAUCAGGUAACAUCAAAUCGUACCCCAAACCGACACAGGUGGUCAGGUAGAGAAUACCAAGGCGCUUGAGAGAACUCGGGUGAAGGAACUAGGCAAAAUGGUGCCGUAACUUCGGGAGAAGGCACGCUGACACGUAGGUGAAGUGAUUUACUCA
RNAcentral lists this ribosomal RNA (1070 nucleotides) under Salmonella enterica subsp. enterica serovar Braenderup. RNAcentral's name for it is "partial 23S ribosomal RNA". It matches the Rfam family "Bacterial large subunit ribosomal RNA", at positions 711 to 1772 of the family's 2925-position model. The record is from RNAcentral. Lineage: Bacteria; Pseudomonadati; Pseudomonadota; Gammaproteobacteria; Enterobacterales; Enterobacteriaceae.